Molecule: ribosomal RNA, 441 nt
Filed under: Bacillus sp. 3LF 5T
Lineage: Bacteria; Bacillati; Bacillota; Bacilli; Caryophanales; Bacillaceae
Description: bacterial SSU rRNA
Rfam family: Bacterial small subunit ribosomal RNA
Source: RNAcentral
UGGGCGUAAGCGCGCGCAGGCGGUUUCUUAAGUCUGAUGUGAAAGCCCCCGGCUCAACCGGGGAGGGUCAUUGGAAACUGGGGAACUUGAGUGCAGAAGAGGAGAGUGGAAUUCCACGUGUAGCGGUGAAAUGCGUAGAGAUGUGGAGGAACACCAGUGGCGAAGGCGACUCUCUGGUCUGUAACUGACGCUGAGGCGCGAAAGCGUGGGGAGCGAACAGGAUUAGAUACCCUGGUAGUCCACGCCGUAAACGAUGAGUGCUAAGUGUUAGAGGGUUUCCGCCCUUUAGUGCUGCAGCAAACGCAUUAAGCACUCCGCCUGGGGAGUACGGUCGCAAGACUGAAACUCAAAGGAAUUGACGGGGGCCCGCACAAGCGGUGGAGCAUGUGGUUUAAUUCAAAGCAACGCGAAGAACCUUACCAGGUCUUGACAUCCUCUGAC